UACGUAGGUGGCAAGCGUUGUCCGGAUUUAUUGGGUUUAAAGGGUGCGUAGGCGGUUCUCUAAGUCAGUUGUGAAAUACUUCAGCUUAACUGGAGAGGUGCAAUUGAUACUGGAGAACUUGAGUACUGAUGAGGUAGGCGGAAUGGACGGUGUAGCGGUGAAAUGCUUAGAUAUCGUCCAGAACACCGAUAGCGAAGGCAGCUUACUGAGGAGGAACUGACGCUGAGGCACGAAAGUGUGGGGAUCAAACAGG
RNAcentral lists this ribosomal RNA (253 nucleotides) under uncultured bacterium. RNAcentral's name for it is "partial 16S ribosomal RNA". It matches the Rfam family "Bacterial small subunit ribosomal RNA", at positions 524 to 776 of the family's 1533-position model. The record is from RNAcentral.